AAGUAAAAGUCGUAACAAGGUUUCGUAGUAACCUGCGGAAGAUCAUUAAUAAUUUUUUUGAAAUAAAAAAAAAUAAUAAUCAUCCUACCUUUGUGAAUUUGUUUGUUUGAAUAAUUUUUAAAUUAUUAUUGUCUAUCCAAGUUGGAAAGUGAAAAGCUGAAGACUUGGAGCGGCAUAAAUAAGUUUAAAGACUUUUUUUAAAUUAAACUUUUGUAUUCAUUUGUCUAAAUAAUUUUAUAAUAUAUAAAAACACUUUGACAAUGGAUCUCUUGGUUUCGCAACGAUGAAGAACGCAGCAAAAUGCGAUAAGUAAUGUGAAUUGCAGAAUACGUGAAUCAUCGAAUCUUCGAACGCAUAUUGCACUUUUUUAGUUUACUAAAAAGUAUGUCUGUUUGAGUAUCAGUAAAAUAUUCUCAUAAAAUUUUUUAAUUUUAUGGUUAUGAGUGUUUACAACGAUAAACAAGUUGUUUCACUUUAAAUUGAAUUUUUUUGAAGAAAUUCUUUAAUUCAAAUUAAAUUUGGAUAAAUUUUCCCGUAAAAAGGAAUAACUAUACAAGUUUAAUAAGAAUUUAGUGAUUCUUUUAUGAAAAGGAAAUUUAUUAAAUAACUUGAUCUCAAAUCAGAUAAGAGUACCCGCUGAACUUAAGCAUAUCAAUAAGCGGAGGAAAAGAAACUAACAAGGAUUCCCUAGUAACGGCGAGUGAAGCGGGAAGAGCUCAAAUUUGAAAUCUUAAAGGGUUUCCCUUUACGAAUUGUAGUUUAAAGAAGUGUCUUCUGUUGAGGUUUUGGUAAAGUUCUUUGGAAUAGGACAUCAUAGAGGGUGAGAAUCCCGUAUUUGACCUUUACUUUCAACUUUGUGAUACACUUUCAAAGAGUCGGAUUGUUGGGAAUGCAGUCCAAAUGGUGGUAAAUUUCAUCUAAAGCUAAAUAUGGCGAGAGACGAUAGCGAACAAGUACCGUGAGGAAGAUGAAAAGAACUUUGAAAAGAGAGUUAAACAGUACGUGAAAUUGUCAAAAGGAAGCGUUUGACACCAGUGUUGUUUUUCUGAAAAUCAAUUAAAGAACUGUUUAUGCUAAGUUGUUUAGACUUUAUCAGCUAACUGUUUAGUUUGAGCUUUUCUUAAUGCACUUUCAGUUAACAAGUCAACAUCAAUUUCUUUUGCUGUAAAAAGCUUGAGGAAGGUGCUUGAGAUUCGUCUUAAGUGUUUAUAGCCUCUUGCCUAUGCAGUCGGAGAAUGAGGUCUGCAGCGUGGAUCCUUCGGAGCUAA
Molecule: unclassified non-coding RNA, 1268 nt
Filed under: uncultured Neocallimastigales
Lineage: Eukaryota; Fungi; Neocallimastigomycota; Neocallimastigomycetes; Neocallimastigales
Description: partial contains small subunit ribosomal RNA, internal transcribed spacer 1, 5.8S ribosomal RNA, internal transcribed spacer 2, and large subunit ribosomal RNA
Rfam family: Eukaryotic large subunit ribosomal RNA (bases 610-1268)
Source: RNAcentral